Molecule: ribosomal RNA, 253 nt
Filed under: uncultured bacterium
Lineage: Bacteria
Description: partial 16S ribosomal RNA
Rfam family: Bacterial small subunit ribosomal RNA
Source: RNAcentral
UACAGAGGUCCCGAGCGUUGUUCGGAUUUAUUGGGCGUAAAGAGCUCGUAGGCGGCUUGUCGCGUCGUUCGUGAAAACCUGUGGCUCAACUACAGGCUUGCGGUCGAUACGGGCAGGCUGGAGUUCGGUAGGGGAGACUGGAAUUCCUGGUGUAGCGGUGAAAUGCGCAGAUAUCAGGAGGAACACCGGUGGCGAAGGCGGGUCUCUGGGCCGAUAUCGACGCUGAGGAGCGAAAGCGUGGGGAGCGAACAGG